Molecule: non-coding RNA, 24 nt
Filed under: Arabidopsis thaliana (thale cress)
Lineage: Eukaryota; Viridiplantae; Streptophyta; Magnoliopsida; Brassicales; Brassicaceae
Source: RNAcentral
AGAGGUUCGGCCGGGAAGAGGCGC